CUAAAAUCAAAAUGCAUAUGAAUUUCUAUCCAUCAAAUAGUGCAGUUAUUUUAAUGUGUUUGUGGGGUACUUGACAUGUCAACGUGUUAUUAAUAGAUUGGUCUCCUGAACAAUGAGAUCUCUCUGGGAUGCUGUAGGAUGGCUCCUCAUCCUCCUGCUAGCCAGGAUUGCCUUUCAACAUCAGCUGAAGGACCCACAAUAAGGUUUUGGAAGCACA
RNAcentral lists this long non-coding RNA (217 nucleotides) under Junco hyemalis (dark-eyed junco). RNAcentral describes it as "lncRNA (ENSJHYG00000011562.1)". The record is from RNAcentral. Lineage: Eukaryota; Metazoa; Chordata; Aves; Passeriformes; Passerellidae.